This 73-nucleotide transfer RNA is filed under the name Stegodyphus mimosarum. It matches the Rfam family "tRNA". Rfam says of the family: Transfer RNA (tRNA) molecules are approximately 80 nucleotides in length. Their secondary structure includes four short double-helical elements and three loops (D, anti-codon, and T loops). The record is from Rfam by way of RNAcentral. Lineage: Eukaryota; Metazoa; Arthropoda; Arachnida; Araneae; Eresidae.
GCCUUCGUCGUGUAAUGGUCAGCACACUCGACGCGUAUUCGAGAGAUCCUUAGUUCGAAUCCCUUCGAAGGCA